This 219-nucleotide non-coding RNA is filed under the name Caldisalinibacter kiritimatiensis. Its description in RNAcentral is "T-box sequence". It matches the Rfam family "T-box leader". Rfam says of the family: Uncharged tRNA acts as the effector for transcription antitermination of genes in the T-box leader family. T-boxes are found upstream of many aminoacyl-tRNA synthetase genes and some amino acid biosynthetic genes usually in Gram-positive bacteria. Lineage: Bacteria; Bacillati; Bacillota; Tissierellia; Tissierellales; Thermohalobacteraceae. The record is from RNAcentral.
AUAUAAGCUGUGAAAGGUAAUAGUAGAUAUUUAAGGCUUACAGAGAGGAAAUCCUAGGCUGAGAGAUUUCUAGCCCUCUGAAUAUUGAACCCGGCCUGGAGCUUCUAGACUGAAAAAAAGUAAGUUUAGACGGUGUUAGCCGUUAUAAAAUUAAGUGAGCCAAUGAAAUGUAUUAAUUGGUUAAAUAGGGUGGUACCGCGGAUAAACUUCGUCCCUUUU